UCUCCACUCAAUCUAUGUGGUUCAAGAAUGGGCAACUGACCCAAGUCUGGGCAAUCAGAGAACAACAUCCCCUGGCCCAAGUGACCACCACACAAAUGGACACAGUUAGGCCAAUGGAGACUCAAUUCUGGUUCUUUGGACUGAGUGGAAAAGAGAAACUCUCCUUCCUCUUUCCUUGGCUGAGAGGAUAGAAAACAGACCUGCAUGCACAUCAGUGAAGAUGGCCUCCAGUUGUGGUGGCCUGAAAGCCGCCUCUCCUUCUGCCUUCUACCCUCUACCCUGCAGCAGAGAAUGGUCAGACCUCCAGCCAGAGGGCAGCCAGCAAAGACAGCAGCAGCCUUGAUGUCACCUAUGUGUCCAGCUGAAGGGUCUGCUUCCUGUCAUCAUUCUCACUUCAGGCCCUGGCUGAGGAGGAAGCCACUCUCUGGAGCAUUACCAGCCAACAAGAUAGAGGGAAAGGUGUGGAGAAGCGUGUCCGCUUCUGAGAGUUUCUGCCCAGAAGUGACACAGAUCCCUCCAUUAUGUUACAGAAGUCCAAGGCAGGCUUCCAGGGGACUAGAAAG
RNAcentral lists this long non-coding RNA (563 nucleotides) under Equus caballus (horse). Its description in RNAcentral is "lncRNA (ENSECAG00000044672.1)". The record is from RNAcentral. Lineage: Eukaryota; Metazoa; Chordata; Mammalia; Perissodactyla; Equidae.